AACGAACGCUGGCGGCAUGCCUAACACAUGCAAGUCGAACGAGACCUUCGGGUCUAGUGGCGCACGGGCGCGUAACGCGUGGGAAUCUGCCCUUGGGUUCGGAAUAACAGUUAGAAAUGACUGCUAAUACCGGAUAAUGUCUUCGGACCAAAGAUUUAUCGCCCAGGGAUGAGCCCGCGUAGGAUUAGCUAGUUGGUGAGGUAAAGGCUCACCAAGGCGACGAUCCUUAGCUGGUCUGAGAGGAUGAUCAGCCACACUGGGACUGAGACACGGCCCAGACUCCUACGGGAGGCAGCAGUGGGGAAUAUUGGACAAUGGGCGAAAGCCUGAUCCAGCGAUGCCGCGUGAGUGAUGAAGGCCUUAGGGUUGUAAAGCUCUUUUACCCGGGAUGAUAAUGACAGUACCGGGAGAAUAAGCCCCGGCUAACUCCGUGCCAGCAGCCGCGGUAAU
Molecule: ribosomal RNA, 450 nt
Filed under: uncultured bacterium
Lineage: Bacteria
Description: bacterial SSU rRNA
Rfam family: Bacterial small subunit ribosomal RNA
Source: RNAcentral